AACGUAGGACACGAGCGUUAUCCGGAGUUACUGGGCGUAAAGGGCGUGCAGGCGGUCGACUAAGUCUGGCGUGAAAGCUCUCGGCUAAACCGGGAGAGGUCGUUGGAUACUGGUUGACUAGAGGACGGUAGAGGCGUGUGGAAUUCCGGGUGUAGUGGUGAAAUGCGUAGAGAUCCGGAGGAACACCAGUGGCGAAGGCGACACGCUGGGCCGUACCUGACGCUGAUACGCGACAGCAUGGGGAGCGAACGGG
Molecule: ribosomal RNA, 253 nt
Filed under: uncultured bacterium
Lineage: Bacteria
Description: partial 16S ribosomal RNA
Rfam family: Bacterial small subunit ribosomal RNA
Source: RNAcentral